CAAUGGGCUAUAAAUAUACAAGUGACUACGCGAGGUUGUAACGUUCGUUUACGCCUUUAAAUGUAUGUUUACGGUUUUUCGUUGAGGGAAGGGGUUAUGAAAGUAAAUGUGUUUCAUGGUGAACAUGAAGUUUCGAUGCUAUGGAUUUUCUUAAAAAGAGAAGAUUUGAUUUUUUUUAUGCAAUCAUGAUAUCUAAUCAACACGGAGGAACGAUAUAUUGCCAUGCCAAACCGUAAUCUCCUGAGAGAUUCAUUAAACCGCCGUGGUAAAUAUAGCAAUACCUAAUAUACAAGGCAAGGUUUGUUCAAAAGAAUAACAAUGUAAGUAUACAAGGUAAGGAAUAAUGUAGGAGUAGUACACACAAGGAAAGGAAAGAGUAAAAUCAUUUCAUAAAUGGAAAGAUACAAGUAAAAUCCACAUCUUACUACCGGACAGCACACGUUUUACCCACCCCCAAAGGGCAAAGCGCCAGGCAGCACACAGUCACGACAGGCACAGCAGUAGCAGCAGCGGCGCCAACAACCAAACCGGCCAGCCCAAGAACCCCUCCCCCACCCCGCGCACACGCACACGCACACGCCCACGACUCUGCCUCUCUCUCCCCACCUCCGUUCUCUCAUCCCCCGUCCGUCCCCUACUCCUCCACCCUUCUCCCUUCUUCCAUUUGACCCCGCUCCCCCGUCUCUUCCUCGGCAAAGCUUCGAAUUUUCCUCCCUCCCCCUAUCCCAAGCCUUCCGCUUCCGUGUCCGCGUCCCGUCUUGGAUUCGUCCGCCGCGCAACAAAGAAACCGCGUGCGUGCGUUCGUGCGCGUCGGUUCGGUCCCGUCCCGCCCUUGUUCCUUCCUUGCCGGCCGCUGCUUCGCGCGCAUUGCCGCCCCUCCCCCACCCGCCGGAUUCCUCCGCCCAAUAAGUUGCUUUCCCGGGGACGUUUCUCGGAGGACGGACGGACGGACAGAAACAAGAAACGCCCGCUGCCUCGCCGCAUGGAUCAGGGUCCCCCGCGCUGCCGCCUGGAGCUGGGAUUCCGGGACGCGGGAGUUCAGGGGCGGAGGGGGUUCCGGCCGGACGCCGCCGUCGCCGCGCCGCGGCAGGGCGGGAUCUCGGAGCUCUGUUGAGGCGUUCCCGGUCAGGUGAUUUAGUCCAGUGCUGUCCAGUUCCUCGUGUGGCUGCCUCGCCUGCUUUUUUUAGGUAGGUGGGGGCGGUGGAGCCUUUCUUGGUGGGUGGGAGCGCGCCCCGAAUUUAUUGCGAGGCGUUUCUUGGGUUCACACCUGAAAUCUGACUUCUUCUCGCUCAGAG
Molecule: ribosomal RNA, 1295 nt
Filed under: Triticum aestivum (bread wheat)
Lineage: Eukaryota; Viridiplantae; Streptophyta; Magnoliopsida; Poales; Poaceae
Description: partial small subunit ribosomal RNA
Source: RNAcentral